This is a ribosomal RNA of Aspergillus niger, 754 nucleotides long. The record is from RefSeq and is a predicted model, not a curated record. Lineage: Eukaryota; Fungi; Ascomycota; Eurotiomycetes; Eurotiales; Aspergillaceae.
UGACCUCGGAUCAGGUAGGGAUACCCGCUGAACUUAAGCAUAUCAAUAAGCGGAGGAAAAGAAACCAACCGGGAUUGCCUCAGUAACGGCGAGUGAAGCGGCAAGAGCUCAAAUUUGAAAGCUGGCUCCUUCGGAGUCCGCAUUGUAAUUUGCAGAGGAUGCUUUGGGUGCGGCCCCCGUCUAAGUGCCCUGGAACGGGCCGUCAGAGAGGGUGAGAAUCCCGUCUUGGGCGGGGUGUCCGUGCCCGUGUAAAGCUCCUUCGACGAGUCGAGUUGUUUGGGAAUGCAGCUCUAAAUGGGUGGUAAAUUUCAUCUAAAGCUAAAUACUGGCCGGAGACCGAUAGCGCACAAGUAGAGUGAUCGAAAGAUGAAAAGCACUUUGAAAAGAGAGUUAAACAGCACGUGAAAUUGUUGAAAGGGAAGCGCUUGCGACCAGACUCGCCCGCGGGGUUCAGCCGGCAUUCGUGCCGGUGUACUUCCCCGUGGGCGGGCCAGCGUCGGUUUGGGCGGCCGGUCAAAGGCCCCUGGAAUGUAGUGCCCUCCGGGGCACCUUAUAGCCAGGGGUGCAAUGCGGCCAGCCUGGACCGAGGAACGCGCUUCGGCACGGACGCUGGCAUAAUGGUCGUAAACGACCCGUCUUGAAACACGGACCAAGGAGUCUAACAUCUACGCGAGUGUUCGGGUGUCAAACCCGUGCGCGCAGUGAAAGCGAACGGAGGUGGGAGCCCCCUUGCGGGGCGCACCAUCGACCGAUC